Suncus etruscus (white-toothed pygmy shrew) is the source of this 163-nucleotide small nuclear RNA. RefSeq annotates it as U1 spliceosomal RNA. Lineage: Eukaryota; Metazoa; Chordata; Mammalia; Eulipotyphla; Soricidae. The transcript has a single exon. The record is from RefSeq and is a predicted model, not a curated record.
UAUCUUACUUGACAGGGAGAUACCAUGAUUAUGAAGGUGGUUUUCCCAGGGUGAGGCUUAUCCAUUGCACUUUAGAUGUGCUGACCCCUGUGGCUUCUCCAAAUGUGGGAAACAUGACCGCAUAUUUUGUGGUAGUGGGGGACUGAAUUUGUAAUCUCCCCUG